This 597-nucleotide ribosomal RNA is filed under the name Volema myristica. RNAcentral describes it as "partial 12S ribosomal RNA". The stretch from base 188 to 593 matches the Rfam family "Microsporidia small subunit ribosomal RNA", at positions 752 to 1303 of the family's 1311-position model. Lineage: Eukaryota; Metazoa; Mollusca; Gastropoda; Neogastropoda; Melongenidae. The record is from RNAcentral.
AAAGACAGUUAGGCUUUAAAUAAUAUUUAGUUUGUUGAUCUAUUUAUAUAAAAGUAAAAUUUGAAUAUAAAUGGCAAAAAUAAUUAUAACUAAUUUAGGUAGAAGCUGUGAUAGUUUUGAGGGAAACUGGGAUUAGAUACCCCAUUAUUCUUAACAGUAAAUUCAGUUAUAUUUACCAAAGGACUAUGAAUCAUACAAAAUUUAAAACUUGAAGGGCUUGGCGGUGUUUUAGACCUAUUAGGGGAACCUGUCUCAUAAUCGACAAUCCACGUUAAACCUAACCUUUUUUGGCAAUCAGUUUGUAUACCGUCGUCGUCAGGUAACUUUCAAAAAAUUAGAAGUUAGCUAUAUAAUUUCGUAAAUUAAAACGUCAGAUCAAGGUGCAGCUAAUAAAAAGGGAGGAGAUGGGUUACAAUUAAUAUACUUAUAAUUACGGAAAAACAUAUGAAAAAUAAUUGGAAGGAGGACUUGAAAGUAAAGUAUAUUAUAUAAGCACUUUGAAUAAGGCUCUGAAACGUGUACAAACCGCCCGUCGCUCUCGUUGAAAAAUGAGAUAAGUCGUAACAUAGCAGGGGUAAUGGAAAUUGUCCCUAGAUG